UCGGGAAUUUUGGGCAAUGGGGGAAACCCUGACCCAGCAACGCCGCGUGAAGGAUGAAGUAUUUCGGUAUGUAAACUUCGAAAGAAUAGGAAGAAUAAAUGACGGUACUAUUUAUAAGGUCCGGCUAACUACGUGCCAGCAGCCGCGGUAAUACGUAGGGACCAAGCGUUGUUCGGAUUUACUGGGCGUAAAGCGUGCGCAGGCGGUUGUGUAAGUCAGAUGUGAAAUCCCCGGGCUCAACCUGGGAAUUGCAUUUGAGACUGCACGGCUAGAGUGUGUCAGAGGGGGGUAGAAUUCCACGUGUAGCAGUGAAAUGCGUAGAUAUGUGGAGGAAUACCGAUGGCGAAGGCAGCCCCCUGGGAUAACACUGACGCUCAUGCACGAAAGCGUGGGGAGCAAACAGGAUUAGAUACCCUCGUAGUCCCUGAGCGGGCUGGCAAGGCGCAU
Molecule: ribosomal RNA, 447 nt
Filed under: uncultured bacterium
Lineage: Bacteria
Description: bacterial SSU rRNA
Rfam family: Bacterial small subunit ribosomal RNA
Source: RNAcentral